CCUACGGGAGGCAGCAGUGAGGAAUAUUGGUCAAUGGGCGCGAGCCUGAACCAGCCAAGUAGCGUGAAGGAUGACUGCCCUACGGGUUGUAAACUUCUUUUAUAAAGGAAUAAAGUGAGGCACGUGUGCCUUUUUGUAUGUACUUUAGAAAAAGGAAUCGCUAACCCCGUGCCAGCAGCCGCGGUAAUACGGAGGAUCCGGAGGUUUUCCGGAUUUAUUGGGUUUAAAGGGAGCGUAGAUGGGUUGUUAAGUCAGUUGUGAAAGUUUGCGGCUCAACCGUAAAAUUGCAAUUGAUACUGGCAGCCUUGAGUACAGUUGAGGUAGGCGGAAUUCGUGGUGUAGCGGUGAAAUGCUUAGAUAUCACGAAGAACUCCGAUUGCGAAGGCAGCCUACUAAACUGCCACUGACAUUGAUGCUCGAAAGUGUGGGUAUCAAACAGGAUUAGAUACCCCGGUAGUC
RNAcentral lists this ribosomal RNA (459 nucleotides) under uncultured bacterium. Its description in RNAcentral is "partial 16S ribosomal RNA". It matches the Rfam family "Bacterial small subunit ribosomal RNA", at positions 338 to 795 of the family's 1533-position model. The record is from RNAcentral.